GAUGAACGCUGGCGGCGUGCCUAAUACAUGCAGGUAGAACGCUGAAGCUUGGUGCUUGCACCGAGCGGAUGAGUUGCGAACGGGUGAGUAACGCGUAGGUAACCUGCCUCUUAGCGAGGGAUAACUAUUGGAAACGAUAGCUAAUACCGCAUAAAAGUUGACAUUGCAUGAUGUUGAUUUGAAAGAUGCAAUUGCAUCACUAAGAGAUGGACCUGCGUUGUAUUAGCUAGUUGGUGAGGUAACGGCUCACCAAGGCGACGAUACAUAGCCGACCUGAGAGGGUGAUCGGCCACACUGGGACUGAGACACGGCCCAGACUCCUACGGGAGGCAGCAGUAGGGAAUCUUCGGCAAUGGGGGCAACCCUGACCGAGCAACGCCGCGUGAGUGAAGAAGGUUUUCGGAUCGUAAAGCUCUGUUGUAAGAGAAGAACGAGUGUGAGAGUGGAAAGUUCACACUGUGACGGUAACUUACCAGAAAGGGACGGCUAACUACGUGCCAGCAGCCGCGGUAAUACGUAGGUCCCGAGCGUUAUCCGGAUUUAUUGGGCGUAAAGCGAGCGCAGGCGGUUAGAUAAGUCUGAAGUUAAAGGCUGUGGCUUAACCAUAGUACGCUUUGGAAACUGUUUAACUUGAGUGCAGAAGGGGAGAGUGGAAUUCCAUGUGUAGCGGUGAAAUGCGUAGAUAUAUGGAGGAACACCGGUGGCGAAAGCGGCUCUCUGGUCUGUAACUGACGCUGAGGCUCGAAAGCGUGGGGGGCAAACAGG
This 765-nucleotide ribosomal RNA is filed under the name uncultured Streptococcus sp. RNAcentral describes it as "bacterial SSU rRNA". It matches the Rfam family "Bacterial small subunit ribosomal RNA", at positions 28 to 776 of the family's 1533-position model. Lineage: Bacteria; Bacillati; Bacillota; Bacilli; Lactobacillales; Streptococcaceae. The record is from RNAcentral.